GUAGAUCAAUGGCAAUAUGCACUGGGGUGGAAACUAGCACACGAUGACAAUGGCGGGAAAUUUUGAAUAGCUGAUGGACAGACGAUCCUGAAUGUAUUUUGCCGAAAGGAAUGCAAGUCUUGUUGUAUCUUGUUUUCCCCUCUGUGUUGCUUUCGAGGAUCAGUCCAAUGGAUUGGGGGCAGUGGUUUAAUUACUAUGCAGGGAUUAAGAAAUACAUGUGGUUUGUCUCUAACGCCGAGAGAAGGAAUAAUGUCCGACCGAGGCGCCACAACGAUCGCGGAUACCGGUGUUCAUAUAACUGCACAUCUGACAGAAUGUCUUAUCCUGAUAAUAUAACUGCAUAUGAGGGGAAAAGAUAGAAACAUCAGGAAAUGAUUUCAAACAUCGGUUUGGUAUUAGACAAUUCCGACAAGUCAAUCUUGACAUUCAUAUGCCAUAAUAAUCAAUAUAGUGAUUGUGGGCAUUAAAGGAAAGACAAGACAAGACAAGUGCGACUGGUCUUACCUUUGAUUUUCUGGGAUACGAUGGUGUCUUCAAUGUGGGCAUAUACUGAUAUAAUCAAUAUAGAGAGGAGGCCGGAAAGAGUCUUUCAUGAGUCGAAUUAUCCUAGUGGGAAUAUGGCUCAUCACUGCUGCAUCAGGUAUGAUCACGUGGUACAAUUUGGAGUGACGCUCAUCAAAAUCUCUCAGAUCAAGAAUUAACCUGGUAUCGAUCAAGACGUCUACUACAGUGAAUACGAUCGAAUUCCAGCUAAUCCAUCUAGAGCCAAAAUUGGAAGUGGAAUAGGUCUUAACUCGAGUACACUUCACCAUGGACCUAUGCGGCGUGGUCAUCGAGGAAUGGCGCAGGUUUUCAUCAAGAGGUGAUGAUGAAUCAGUUGGAUAUUGGAAUGUUGUUUUGAAGGCAUCCGAGUGUGGGUAUGUUACGACGAGAAUGAGGUCUGAUGUCUUGACUAGCCAAUUCAAUUUCCAACAAGAAAGCGGCCAAUUUUACAAUGAGAAGGAGUAGCUAGGGGCUAGGGCAUGUCUGGGCGAUGGACUUUGGUCGAUGAAGUCUCAUAGUCAAUCGUGUGAACACAGUUUGUUCAUAUAGCAUACACAUUGUCAACUGUAUGAUGAACACAGUGUGUAAUCACAAAGUCAAAUGUAUGAACACUUGUGUGUCCACACUGUGACAAAAAUGCGUGUGUAAAAAAACUGAUGAGAAAUAGUUGCCACACAGUUAACUUCGCUGUGACGACUUACACUGUGUUCCGCACAGAGUCAACCUAUUAAAAAAAAAAAUUUUCAACUCUGUCAAAUUCAUUUGUCAGUGUGUUCACACAAUGCAUGCCCACGCAGUGAAGGUAAAAACCAUUCUGUGUCUUUUAUGAAGAUAGCCACAGCGUGUCAUUCAUUGAGUACAUCGUGUUCAUAUAAUUCCACACAGUGACCACAUUGUGAGGAAGAUAGCCACAGUGUAUCAUUCGUUCAGCACAAUGUGUUCAUAUAGUUACACACACUGACCACACUGUGAGGAAGAUAGUUACUGUAGUUUAUUUGUUCAGUACAGUGUGUUCAUAUAGUUACAGUGACCACACUGUGAGGAAGAUAGUCAUAGUGUGUCAUUCGUUCAGCACAGUGUGUUCAUAUGGUUCCACUGAGGAACCACACUGUGAAGAAGGUUUCCACUAUGUGGCAUUUGUUCAGCACAGUGUGAUCAAAGUGUGAUGAUCAAUUAUGCAGAUUUAAAUUACAUGGAAACAAAAAAGUCAAUUCCAUAUUUUGAGGAAAAGGUAAAUGGCCUCUGUGCAUUUUUCAUAUAUAAUGAUUUAUUCAAGAAAUAUAUUUUCUAACGAAAAUUCAGAUGGAAAGAUUAAAAAACACAUCCGUUUUUUAUGGUAACAAUAUGAUUUACUAUCUAAAAUUAUAAACAGCAAUCAAUAUAGUUGAGGAAAUAGGGUGCCUUAUCAGAAUUUUUGCUGGUUAAGGAUUGACAACCUGAUUCCAAAAAUAUCAGUUUCAUUAACUACUAUCAAGUCACUCUUGCAAUUCCGGUUAAUUUUGUACCUAAAAUCACCUAUUUGACCACAGUUAGGAUAAAGUAAUUUCAAAAAAUGCUUUUAUAACACCAGCGAAAUUCAAAAUAUUAUCCGUUGUAGAAAUAAACCCAGAUUUUUUACAGAGUAGUUUCACAGGCAGAAUCAUGACUGCAAUGGUCAUUUAAGCCAUAAGUUUACCGUAGAUUACAGUUUAAUAAUUCUAUUUUCCAAAAUAUGAUGAAGUAAUUAAUCGUAUUUACGGUUUUGAUGUGAAAGAAGUAUGCGGUGGUUCCUAUUCCUCAUUAAUUUCAACAGUUUUGGCCCAUUAUCAUAUGGUCAGGCCUAACUGACAAAUUGCCUGGUCAAAAAAAAAAAAGGGGGGGGGGUAAACAUCACAAAAAAACUCAAAAUGAAAUACUUAAGCGGGAUUUACUCACUGUUAUUCUUAAAAGACAACUCCACCCCAACAAAAUGUUGAUUUUAAGAAAAGGAGAAAAAUCCUUGAAAAUUUCAUCAAAAUCCGGUGUAAAAUAAGAAAGUUAUGACAUUUAUGUUUUCGCUUAAUUUCACAAAGUAGUUAUGCACAUCCUGGUCGGUAUGCAAAUGAGGGAACUGAUGAUGUCACCCACUUACUGUUUCUUCUACAUUUCAUUACAUUUAAUAUGAACUAUUUUAAUUUAAUCAUUGUCACGUGAAACAAAGAUUUAUUUCUCCCUGAACACGUGGAAUUACCAUUGUUUUAACAUUUUUUUGUUCAGUCAAGUUGCUUAUUAUUUUCAAAUCCAUUAAAAUUGCAAUAUUGUGUAAUUCAAACGAUGAAAAAUAAAAAAAAAUAGAGAGAGACAUCAUCGACUCUCAUUUGCAUAUCACUGAGUUGUGCAUAUAAUUGUUUUGUGAAAAAUAAGUGAAAAUUUAAAUUGUCAUGAUCGAUAACAUUUCGUUUUAUUCGAAAAAAACUUCAAAUCUUAACCUUAAUCGGUAUGGAUGUGUUAUGAAACCUAAAAUUUGUGCAGAAGUUUUUAUUAAUAGUAUACUUUAAAAACACUUUUGUUAUUUUGGCCACCUUGAUCACGUCUAUAGGCCCAUGAAAACUACAUAUGUACAGUGUGUGUCAAUCAAACCAUUACAUUUUGGGGAAAAAACUGUCAAAAUUCUGUUUAAAAGUAUGAAGGAGUUUUUACAAAUAUGAUUUUUUUGUUCGCACUGUAUGAGUUGCAAAUUUAGGAUUGUGAUAAUUUUCAUGGUAAUUAUGUUAGGAUGGGUCAGGUUUGAAUACUUUCUAAUGUAGAGUCAUGUGAGACAUCAGUCUUAAUGACCCGAUUUAUGAGCCUCUGAUAAUUCUAGCCACUCACAAUGACAAAUUACAUCAUUCCUAAUUAUCCGAAAGCAAUUAUGAUUUUAAUAAUGGUUUCUCUUUCGUUCUUUCUUUCUUCUUUCACUGCGCCUUGGGCACUCUGCCGAGUGGAUUUGGCGCAUUACAAAUCACAUAUAUUAUUAUUAUUAUUAUAUAAGUGUGUGCUUAUUAAGUUUUUAUGAAGGGUUGUUUUACAUUCAGGGUAUGUUUAAAAGGGUAUUCUGUACAUUAUAAAAAUAUAUGUAAUAUUAUCUCAAAUCAAAGAUGGCACUGUCAGAGCAACCUGCAAGAGAAAAAAAAUGAAAUAUACGUUUAUCUCUCAAAAUUUACGAUAUAUGUCAUUUUAUGGCAAAAUUUACUUUCGUCCCCCCUCCCAUUUUUUCUUCUAAUUUUGAGUCCCCGUUGAAUAUUAUAAAAUCAUUCGGGAUUGUUUGACCAAUCAUUUUACCAACCAUUCAGUUUUGAUUAAUGAAAUUUGAUUAUUCAAAAAAUGAAAACCUCCAAAGCUUCAGGUAAUUUGAUUUUUGUUGUGACUAUCAACCAAAAAAUGGAGUGUCAAUUUUGGUCCAAAAAAUUAUUGUCCUUUCAAAAUUCGGCAUUUGUAUGCAUUUUGACAUUACUUGAUUACUAUUUUUUUUGUCUAUGAGAAAACUUGUGUGCGUGUGUGUAUGUAUAUAUGCAAGAAAUUUAGAAUGUUCAAUUUGCCCAAAAUCCGCCUACAUUUUAAGACAGUUAACAUUCAAACGUUGUAAAAUCAAUUUCUGUCUAAAAGUAUCCUCUCCGAAAAAUGAAGCAAUCAACAGAUAUUGUUUUUAGUCAAAUGAAACAGGUAUGUAUAUCCUGAUCCUAAAACAUCCCUGAAUACUUUCCAUGCAUUUUAAUAGUAUUUUUAUCACUUUGGUAAAACAAAUGCCACAUUUCUGGAAAAAGCCUGACAAAAUUAAUAAUCUGAAUAUGAAGGAGAUUUUUUUAUAUUGAUAACUGUUUUAAAGUCUUCUCUAUCAGAUGACCUUUUUGUCCAAGAGGUAAAAAAAAAACGGCUUGCGCCAAGAUGAAAGACAUAAAUUAAGCAGUAGUCUGGAUUGAAUACUCAAUCAAAUAAUUGGUCCUUGCAUACAUUAUGGUUAUGUGGAUGUAUUUGUUGUACCCAUUCAAUUUAUGCAUGAUUGGGGAUAAGUUAUGUGUAAUAACAUUUUCACUUUAAGCAAGAGCGUGACCAAACUUCUUACUCGAAGUACACAAAAUAAGGAGAAGUUAGACAAAUCAAUAUCGGUGAUUUAAUCAUUACAACUGAUUGAUUAUUUUCUAUUGCUCAAUAUGCAAUAUCUUCUUAUAAAGUGAUUUUUAUAUAAUUCCUUUCUGCUUUUUUCAUAGUCAAAAUGAAUGAAACCAUCUCAUUAAAAACGCUGAUAACUAUUUGUAUUCAUUUUCAUGUAUUCCUUGGAAGAUCUUAAAGAUAAUUAUCCAUCAGUAUUCAACUAAGCACAACAUAUAUAGAAUAUUACAAUCAUAAUAAUUUGACUCAUAAUUCCAACAUAAUCACAAAUGAAUGCAAAUGGGCAAGUCAUCUGAUUGGGCGGAGGAACCUACUUCAUUCACACUGCUGCUUCAACUGUGCACAUUUGCUUCAUUUUGGCGAAAGUCAUUUUUUGACACCCUGAGCAACAAGGGUCAGUGUCCAGUCAAGCAUUGUUAAAAAAUUGAACAUUUUGUAUCAUCUGAUAAAGAAGACUUUAUUGCAUGUAGCAAUAUCAAAAGAUUGACCAUUAAAUAAUAGUGUUACACCUC
This is a long non-coding RNA of Lytechinus pictus (painted urchin), 5162 nucleotides long. RefSeq lists it as uncharacterized. The record is from RefSeq and is a predicted model, not a curated record. Lineage: Eukaryota; Metazoa; Echinodermata; Echinoidea; Temnopleuroida; Toxopneustidae. The transcript is spliced from 4 exons.